Molecule: ribosomal RNA, 492 nt
Filed under: uncultured bacterium
Lineage: Bacteria
Description: partial 16S ribosomal RNA
Rfam family: Bacterial small subunit ribosomal RNA
Source: RNAcentral
AGUGAACGCUGGCGGUAUGCCUAACACAUGCAAGUCGAACGGCAGCACAGUAAGAGCUUGCUCUUACGGGUGGCGAGUGGCGGACGGGUGAGGAAUACAUCGGAAUCUACUUUUUCGGGGGGGAUAACGUAGGGAAACUUACGCUAAUACCGCAUACGACCUACGGGUGAAAGCAGGGGAUCUUCGGACCUUGCGCGAUUGAAUUAGCCGAUGUCGGAUUAGCUAGUUGGCGGGGUAAAUGCCCACCAAGGCGACGAUCCGUAGCUGGUCUGAGAGGAUGGUCAGCCACACUGGAACUGAGACACGGUCCAGAGUCCUACGGGAGGCAGCAGUGGGGAAUAUUGGACAAUGGGCGCAAGCCUGAUCCAGCCAUACCGCGUGGGUGAAGAAGGCCUUCGGGUUGUAAAGCCCUUUUGUUGGGAAAGAAAAGCAGCAGGUUAAUACCCCGCUGUUCUGACGGUACCCAAAGAAUAAGCACCGGCUAACUUCGUG